This 208-nucleotide unclassified non-coding RNA is filed under the name Hevea brasiliensis (rubber tree). Lineage: Eukaryota; Viridiplantae; Streptophyta; Magnoliopsida; Malpighiales; Euphorbiaceae. The record is from RNAcentral.
AUGCAUAUGCCGCGAACUCGGGUUGGGAAUAUCUCCGCACAUAAGAUGUUGGGGACAGGACCGAAGCCCAUGACGAAGGUGCAGAAGUAGAUGAUGACGCUUACGGUUGAGAGAAUGGCAUGCGCAACAGUUCCCAAGUUGACUACGUUGGAGACUACCAGUACAAUGAGUGAUAAUAUCAGGACUGGGAUCGUGGUUAGGAGUAGAA